RNAcentral lists this ribosomal RNA (253 nucleotides) under uncultured bacterium. RNAcentral describes it as "partial 16S ribosomal RNA". It matches the Rfam family "Bacterial small subunit ribosomal RNA", at positions 524 to 776 of the family's 1533-position model. The record is from RNAcentral.
UACGGAGGGUGCAAGCGUUAUCCGGAUUCACUGGGUUUAAAGGGUGCGUAGGUGGGUUGGUAAGUCAGUGGUGAAAUCCCCGAGCUUAACUUGGGAACUGCCAUUGAUACUAUCAGUCUUGAAUACCGUGGAGGUCAGCGGAAUAUGUCAUGUAGCGGUGAAAUGCUUAGAUAUGACAUAGAACACCUAUUGCGAAGGCAGCUAACUACGCGAAUAUUGACGCUGAGGCACGAAAGCGUGGGGAUCAAACAGG